AUUGAACUCUGGCGGCAGGCAUAACACAUGCAAGUCGAGCGAGUGGCGGACGGGUGAGUAAUGUCUGGGAAACUGCCUGAUGGUGGGGGAUUAAUACUGGAAACGGUAGCUAAUCCCGCAUACCAUCAGCUGUGCCCAGAUGGGAUUAGCUAGUUGGUGUGGUAAUGGCUCACCUAGGCGACGAUCCCUAGCUGUGCUGAGAGGAUGACCAGCCACACUGGAACUGAGACACGUUCCAGACGCCUACGGGGGGCGGAAGUGGUGAAUAUUGCACAAUGGGCGCAAGCCUGAUACAGCCAUGCCGCGUGUGUGAAGAAGGCCUUCGGGUUGUAAAGCACUUUCAGCGAGGAGGCGUUACUCGCAGAAGAAGCACCGGCUAACUCCGUGCCAGCCGCCGCGGUAAUAC
Molecule: ribosomal RNA, 406 nt
Filed under: uncultured bacterium
Lineage: Bacteria
Description: partial 16S ribosomal RNA
Rfam family: Bacterial small subunit ribosomal RNA
Source: RNAcentral